Molecule: transfer RNA, 64 nt
Filed under: Chrysomeloidea sp. 3 KM-2017
Lineage: Eukaryota; Metazoa; Arthropoda; Insecta; Coleoptera
Description: tRNA-Ile
Source: RNAcentral
AAUAGAGUGCCUGAAUAAAGGAUAAUUUUGAUAGAAUUAAUCAUGUGAUUUAUCACCUCUAUUA